UACGUAGGGUGCAAGCGUUAAUCGGAAUUACUGGGCGUAAAGCGUGCGCAGGCGGUUUUGUAAGUUUGUCGUGAAAGCCCCGGGCUCAACCUGGGAAUUGCGAUGAAGACUGCAAGGCUUGAAUCUGGCAGAGGGGGGUAGAAUUCCACGUGUAGCAGUGAAAUGCGUAGAGAUGUGGAGGAACACCGAUGGCGAAGGCAGCCCCCUGGGUCAAGAUUGACGCUCGAUGCACGAAAGCGUGGGGAGCAAACAGG
Molecule: ribosomal RNA, 254 nt
Filed under: uncultured bacterium
Lineage: Bacteria
Description: partial 16S ribosomal RNA
Rfam family: Bacterial small subunit ribosomal RNA
Source: RNAcentral